Triticum aestivum (bread wheat) is the source of this 114-nucleotide non-coding RNA. Lineage: Eukaryota; Viridiplantae; Streptophyta; Magnoliopsida; Poales; Poaceae. The record is from Rfam.
CACAUACUCCCUCUGUCCUAAAAUUCUUGUCUUAAAUUUGUACUAAAACGUGACUUGAUACAUCCGUAUUUAGACAAAUCUAAGACAAGAAUUUUGAGACGGAGGGAGUACCAA